AGCGGCGAACGGGUGAGAAACGCGUAGGUAAUCUACCUUGUAGCGGGGGAUAACCAAGGGAAACUUUGGCUAAUACCGCAUAAGUACCUCAAACUUAUGUUUGAUGUAGAAAGAGGGCUCUCGCAAGAGGCUCUCACUAUAAGAUGAGCCUGCGUCCGAUUAGCUAGUUGGUGAGGUAAUGGCUCACCAAGGCAACGAUCGGUAGCUGGUCUGAGAGGACGACCAGCCACACUGGAACUGACACACGGUCCAGACUCCUACGGGAGGCAGCAGUGGGGAAUAUUGCGCAAUGGAGGAAACUCUGACGCAGCGACGCCGCGUGGGUGAUGAAGGCCUUCGGGUUGUAAAGCCCUGUCGGCUGGGAAAAAGGUAGUCGUGCUAACACCACGAUUGCUUGAUGGUACCAGCAAAGGAAGCACCGGCUAACUCUGUGCCAGCAGCCGCGGUAAUACAGAGGGUGCAAGCGUUGUUCGGAAUUACUGGGCGUAAAGGGCGCGUAGGCGGUUUGGUAAGUCAGAUGUGAAAUCCCGGGGCUUAACUCCGGAAGUGCAUUUGAAACUACCAGGCUAGAGUGUGGUAGAGGAUGGCGGAAUUCCCAGUGGAGAGGUGAAAUUCGUAGAUAUUGGGAGGAACACCGGUGGCGAAGGCGGCCAUCUGGGCCAUAACUGACGCUGAGGCGCGAGAGCGUGGGUAGCAAACA
RNAcentral lists this ribosomal RNA (700 nucleotides) under uncultured bacterium. RNAcentral's name for it is "bacterial SSU rRNA". It matches the Rfam family "Bacterial small subunit ribosomal RNA", at positions 94 to 774 of the family's 1533-position model. The record is from RNAcentral.